CACCACUCUCCUCUCCUUGCUCAGUUACUGGAUGGAGUCUUCCGGAAAAGGCAUGAUUUCAGGGUUGGAAUUGUGAUUAAGCAGUUAUUAACUCCUGCCCUCAUGGAGUUUAAAGUCUGGAGAGAAAUCAGACAUUGAGCAGGCAUUUAUGUACCAGGAAGACAACACCUCCGUAUCUCUUCUGAGAACAUUCUGCAUGCAACAUUCCAUUUUUAGACUCUGUUUCCAGUGAACCCAGUUGAAGACAGUUGGUACCAGGAAUGGUCAUAGGAAAUAGACUCUAAGAGAAGAAUUUUUUGCUGACUCAAU
Long non-coding RNA from Physeter macrocephalus (sperm whale), 309 nucleotides. RefSeq lists it as uncharacterized. The record is from RefSeq and is a predicted model, not a curated record. NCBI's taxonomy places the organism in Eukaryota, Metazoa, Chordata, Mammalia, Artiodactyla, Physeteridae. The transcript is spliced from 3 exons.